Long non-coding RNA from Mustela lutreola (European mink), 1159 nucleotides. RefSeq lists it as uncharacterized. NCBI's taxonomy places the organism in Eukaryota, Metazoa, Chordata, Mammalia, Carnivora, Mustelidae. The transcript is spliced from 3 exons. The record is from RefSeq and is a predicted model, not a curated record.
CGCUGGGAAGAGUAGUUCGGCGGAAGAAGGCGAGUUCUCGGAAAGGAGGACGCGGAAGGAGAUCCACGCGCCCGCGCAGAGGCACAAAGCCAGGAGCUCCAUUCUUUCCGCGGCGCUUAGCGGUAAACUUAGACUUUGAAAGAGGCGUUCAACGUGAACACUAACCUCCGUUCGCUCUGCUUCGCCAUCGGUUGGUAAAACGGAUAGAUACUGAAAUCAAAAACAGAAGCUAAUAUAGAACCGUUUUGGGUUUUUUUUUUAAUGGUUAAAAAACAACGUCCGAGAUCUUGAAGCCCAAAGCGGAAUUAGAAAAUGCAUCCAGUUUCAUUAACGUCCCACUAACAUGUAAGGGCUUUGCUGUCCCAACACGAGGGGAUGGGAUUCUGGUUCCACCCCUCUCUAGCUUGACCUUGGACAAGUCCAAACUUUCUGAGCCUUGGCUUCUUCCUCUCUCAGAUGGGAACCAUAAAAUCCGUGGGACAGAGCUGUUGUGCUCAUUUCGGUAGAGUACUUAGUGCAUUUCUGGUCUACCGGGACAGGUACUAAGUGGCUACAAUUAUUACGCAGUCAGCUCCCAUUAGAGCAUUUGUAGAGAAUUCUUGGAUUUAUCAGAUCCUGAUUCAUGAUGAUGUUUCUUUUCAAGAGCAUUCUGUGAAUUGACAUGUUAACAGCUCUAAUGUGCACAUCAUCUCACCACCACCACAAGAAAGGCAUAACCUACCGGGUUGAAAUGUGUCUUUGGGCCCCCUUGCUACUCAUGGACUAGCAGCACUAGCCCCUGGAAGCUGGUCAGUCCUCUCAGUCCAGAUUGGCUCCUCGUUGACUGAACUUAAAAAGCUGUGAAAAUACACGAAGGGAAGAUGACGGAUACCUUGCAGGAAUCGUGGUGCAGAAGGGACCAGUAUCACUUACUAAUGCCCUAAAUAAUGAAUGACGGAUGAAUAAUACAUUCGAAAGAAAAGACCCUCCUUAGGGCCCCUUCACGGUAUCCUAACCUCUCCUAUCCGGGCACAAAUUGGAGAAGUGUUUUACGGAUUGGAUGAGGGCAUACUCAUAGGUUUUGCAUUUUGUUAUUCCUCUCAACAACUUUUAUGUUAUGGAAUUUUUUUUUUCUGUGUGUAUCAAAAAUACUUUAAAAUGAAUAUAUAUUUUUUUAAAU